Molecule: ribosomal RNA, 1976 nt
Filed under: Escherichia coli
Lineage: Bacteria; Pseudomonadati; Pseudomonadota; Gammaproteobacteria; Enterobacterales; Enterobacteriaceae
Description: partial 23S ribosomal RNA
Rfam family: Bacterial large subunit ribosomal RNA
Source: RNAcentral
GGAAAGGCGCGCGAUACAGGGUGACAGCCCCGUACACAAAAAUGCACAUGCUGUGAGCUCGAUGAGUAGGGCGGGACACGUGGUAUCCUGUCUGAAUAUGGGGGGACCAUCCUCCAAGGCUAAAUACUCCUGACUGACCGAUAGUGAACCAGUACCGUGAGGGAAAGGCGAAAAGAACCCCGGCGAGGGGAGUGAAAAAGAACCUGAAACCGUGUACGUACAAGCAGUGGGAGCACGCUUAGGCGUGUGACUGCGUACCUUUUGUAUAAUGGGUCAGCGACUUAUAUUCUGUAGCAAGGUUAACCGAAUAGGGGAGCCGAAGGGAAACCGAGUCUUAACUGGGCGUUAAGUUGCAGGGUAUAGACCCGAAACCCGGUGAUCUAGCCAUGGGCAGGUUGAAGGUUGGGUAACACUAACUGGAGGACCGAACCGACUAAUGUUGAAAAAUUAGCGGAUGACUUGUGGCUGGGGGUGAAAGGCCAAUCAAACCGGGAGAUAGCUGGUUCUCCCCGAAAGCUAUUUAGGUAGCGCCUCGUGAAUUCAUCUCCGGGGGUAGAGCACUGUUUCGGCAAGGGGGUCAUCCCGACUUACCAACCCGAUGCAAACUGCGAAUACCGGAGAAUGUUAUCACGGGAGACACACGGCGGGUGCUAACGUCCGUCGUGAAGAGGGAAACAACCCAGACCGCCAGCUAAGGUCCCAAAGUCAUGGUUAAGUGGGAAACGAUGUGGGAAGGCCCAGACAGCCAGGAUGUUGGCUUAGAAGCAGCCAUCAUUUAAAGAAAGCGUAAUAGCUCACUGGUCGAGUCGGCCUGCGCGGAAGAUGUAACGGGGCUAAACCAUGCACCGAAGCUGCGGCAGCGACGCUGAUGCGUUGUUGGGUAGGGGAGCGUUCUGUAAGCCUGCGAAGGUGUGCUGUGAGGCAUGCUGGAGGUAUCAGAAGUGCGAAUGCUGACAUAAGUAACGAUAAAGCGGGUGAAAAGCCCGCUCGCCGGAAGACCAAGGGUUCCUGUCCAACGUUAAUCGGGGCAGGGUGAGUCGACCCCUAAGGCGAGGCCGAAAGGCGUAGUCGAUGGGAAACAGGUUAAUAUUCCUGUACUUGGUGUUACUGCGAAGGGGGGACGGAGAAGGCUAUGUUGGCCGGGCGACGGUUGUCCCGGUUUAAGCGUGUAGGCUGGUUUUCCAGGCAAAUCCGGAAAAUCAAGGCUGAGGCGUGAUGACGAGGCACUGCGGUGCUGAAGCAACAAAUGCCCUGCUUCCAGGAAAAGCCUCUAAGCAUCAGGUAACAUCAAAUCGUACCCCAAACCGACACAGGUGGUCAGGUAGAGAAUACCAAGGCGCUUGAGAGAACUCGGGUGAAGGAACUAGGCAAAAUGGUGCCGUAACUUCGGGAGAAGGCACGCUGAUAUGUAGGUGAAGUCCCUCGCGGAUGGAGCUGAAAUCAGUCGAAGAUACCAGCUGGCUGCAACUGUUUAUUAAAAACACAGCACUGUGCAAACACGAAAGUGGACGUAUACGGUGUGACGCCUGCCCGGUGCCGGAAGGUUAAUUGAUGGGGUUAGCGCAAGCGAAGCUCUUGAUCGAAGCCCCGGUAAACGGCGGCCGUAACUAUAACGGUCCUAAGGUAGCGAAAUUCCUUGUCGGGUAAGUUCCGACCUGCACGAAUGGCGUAAUGAUGGCCAGGCUGUCUCCACCCGAGACUCAGUGAAAUUGAACUCGCUGUGAAGAUGCAGUGUACCCGCGGCAAGACGGAAAGACCCCGUGAACCUUUACUAUAGCUUGACACUGAACAUUGAGCCUUGAUGUGUAGGAUAGGUGGGAGGCUUUGAAGUGUGGACGCCAGUCUGCAUGGAGCCGACCUUGAAAUACCACCCUUUAAUGUUUGAUGUUCUAACGUUGACCCGUAAUCCGGGUUGCGGACAGUGUCUGGUGGGUAGUUUGACUGGGGCGGUCUCCUCCUAAAGAGUAACGGAGGAG